Long non-coding RNA from Haliotis rubra (blacklip abalone), 454 nucleotides. RefSeq lists it as uncharacterized. NCBI's taxonomy places the organism in Eukaryota, Metazoa, Mollusca, Gastropoda, Lepetellida, Haliotidae. The record is from RefSeq and is a predicted model, not a curated record. The transcript has 3 exons.
UUUGACUUUUACACCCAGUGUGAUCUGUUUUUGCAGGUAAAGAAGACUGGACAUUAUGGUUAUAUCUGAAGACGACUCAACAUCUGCGUUAGCUGACCUUUCUAUUUCCAACAACGCCUGAAUAGAUAGAGAGGCGCCCUCUACACGUAAACACCCUCUUGCGUGGGAUCCCUGCCAACCACCUUACUAUCAAAGAGGCAACAACAAGACCCAAAAUAAAACAAGCAGAAAACUUUGGUAAUACUAUCAUCUGGAUGGUUUUCAGGCGUGGGAGCCGUGACAGUUUAUACUUGUCAGAGGGGACAUGUUCCAUUUUUGUGGUGGCUGAGUGGGUUGGAUUGCUGACUUUGUGUGCUGGUGCUUGGGUGACUGACUCUUCGAGGGUGGAUUACAGUCUUGGAUGGGACUCAACCCAACAAAAGUACAGUGUACUAGAAUCUGUACUUUACUAAGA